This 257-nucleotide unclassified non-coding RNA is filed under the name Glomeraceae sp. Its description in RNAcentral is "partial contains 5.8S ribosomal RNA and internal transcribed spacer 2". The stretch from base 1 to 65 matches the Rfam family "5.8S ribosomal RNA", at positions 84 to 154 of the family's 154-position model. The record is from RNAcentral. Lineage: Eukaryota; Fungi; Glomeromycota; Glomeromycetes; Glomerales; Glomeraceae.
GUGAAUCAUCAAAUCUUUGAACGCAAAUUGCACUCGCCUCUGAGAGUAUGCCUGUGUGAGGGUCAGCCUAUAAAAAUCGACAUCGUUGCUGUUUCGCGGUGGCGUUCGUCGGAAAGUGGGUCAGCUUAAAUCCUUGUGAUGUAAGCGACUUAGAAUUUUCUUUUGGUUCCAUGAACGUUUCUAAGAUCUAUUUCUUUACACGAGUAAGGAAUCGAUUUUUAGUAGACGUGACCAUCAUAUCGGAUGGAGUACAUAAU